RNAcentral lists this ribosomal RNA (253 nucleotides) under uncultured bacterium. RNAcentral's name for it is "partial 16S ribosomal RNA". It matches the Rfam family "Bacterial small subunit ribosomal RNA", at positions 524 to 776 of the family's 1533-position model. The record is from RNAcentral.
UACGAAGGGGGCUAGCGUUGCUCGGAAUUACUGGGCGUAAAGGGCGCGUAGGCGGACAGUUUAGUCAGAGGUGAAAGCCCAGGGCUCAACCUUGGAAUUGCCUUUGAUACUGGCUGUCUUGAGUUCGGGAGAGGUGAGUGGAAUGCCGAGUGUAGAGGUGAAAUUCGUAGAUAUUCGCAAGAACACCAGUGGCGAAGGCGGCCCACUGGCCCGGUACUGACGCUGAGGUGCGAAAGCGUGGGGAGCAAACAGG